AAUAAUAGAAAAGGUAAGAGGCAAGGAGCUUAUCGUUCCAGUUGGUUUGCUUGUAUAUCUCACUAGCAGACCACAACUCCUCCACUACUUUUCUUCCUUACAUCAACAUAAUAGUUAGUAGUAUAGAUAAUAGUGCAGCACAAAAAUUAUACCUGAGAGCUUCUCAUGCUGAUAACGUGUUAUAAAAUGAACUGGGAUAUGUGCGAAUAUUGAGCUGCACGUGAAGUAGAUGAGACACAGCAUUUAACGAGGUUCGGCUAUGCCUACGUCCUCGGAGAGCAGCAGCAGUAACUUUUCACUAUAUGAAAUAAUAUGGCUACAAAUUUAGUGUUUACAAUAUGUAUGGCUCACUCAAUUUUCUCUCUUGGAGAAUUCCUUUCUUGCUCUCUUUCCUCUCAACUCACUCACCCUCUUUCUUCCUUCUCUUCCUCUUCUCUAUGUGUAAACUUCUCUUGAUGGAGGUAUCUAUUUAUAGGCCUAAGACAUUGGUUGUUCACCUCACAAUAUAAUUGGUAGACAACAUCAUUCAUAUUCUUCAAUCAACAACAUCAUUAAUAUUCUUCAAUCAAUUGGGUAGUGGUUUGGUUUGGUGGGUGUGUGGUUAGGUUUGGUGGGUGUUAGUUGGCUAUGUGGGCUUCACCUAUUCUUCUUUACUUAUUCUUCUUUACAACAUUUUUUUCUUUUUCUGCUUUUUUUUUCUCUUCUUUUUUUAUUUUUUUAUUGUUUUAUUUUUAAUAGUCAAUAAAUUACUUUAGAGCACUUCCAUUCCAAAAGGCAAUGGUAAGGCAAAGGCAAGGCUAUAGCAAACACUAUUUACGUGAAUAGUGUCAGUCUUGUCUUUUUUAGUUCCAUCCCAAACGGCUAAGGCAAGGGCAAACACUAUUCCUUUUACUUUAUUUUCAAUUUUUUUAUACUUAACUAUUAAUUUUGAUAACUUUUCAGAUAAUAUUUUCGGUUGCCACGUGUCACUAUUUAUUAUAAAAUUCUCACUUAAAAUUUCAAAUAACAUUUUUGGAUUAAAUUUUUGAAUUAAAUUUUCGGAUAAGAUUUUCGGUUGCCAUGUGUCCAUCAAAUUUCAGAAAAAAAUUUCAUAUGAGACUCUCUGUUGCCGCAUGUCUUAUUUCAGAAAAUAUUUUUGGAUAUUUAUUUAAAAAUAUUAUAAUGUGAAGAUUUGGCGUGGAAAGUGAAUGAUGAGAGUGGAAAGUAAAAAAUAUUUGAAGAAGAAGAGUUUGUAUGAAGAUUUGGUGUGGAAAGUGAAUAAAAUUGUUAGGUAUUUAUAGGGAAAAAAUAUAUAAUUUUUUGGUUUUUUUUUUUUUAAAAUUCGGAAUUUUUUCAAAUUUUUUUGCAGGCUUUUUAGCCAAAAAAAAUGAGUUCAGUUUGAUUUCUA
This 1387-nucleotide long non-coding RNA is filed under the name Prunus persica (peach). Its description in RNAcentral is "long non-coding RNA (PPER_LNC001995)". The record is from RNAcentral. Lineage: Eukaryota; Viridiplantae; Streptophyta; Magnoliopsida; Rosales; Rosaceae.